UUCCACAUGGAAUGGAUCCCCAGCCCUA
RNAcentral lists this non-coding RNA (28 nucleotides) under Homo sapiens (human). Lineage: Eukaryota; Metazoa; Chordata; Mammalia; Primates; Hominidae. The record is from RNAcentral.